Molecule: non-coding RNA, 169 nt
Filed under: bovine gut metagenome
Source: RNAcentral
CGGCGACGAACUGGCCGAAGAUAAUAGAGAAUCAUGUGAAAGUCAUGAACGGGCCCGCCGCUGUAUGCGCAGAGGGGUGACGCGAGGCGAAAGCCGGCCAUUGGGGAAACCUGAGAAGGCCGCGUCAACCGGACGGAAGUCCAUGCGCGAGUCAGAAGAACUGCUGCGA